GACGAACGCUGGCGGCGUGCUUAACACAUGCAAGUCGAACGGAAAGGCCCUGCUUUUGUGGGGUGCUCGAGUGGCGAACGGGUGAGUAACACGUGAGUAACCUGCCCUUGACUUUGGGAUAACUUCAGGAAACUGGGGCUAAUACCGGAUAGGAGCUCCUGCUGCAUGGUGGGGGGUGGAAAGUUUCGGCGGUUGGGGAUGGACUCGCGGCUUAUCAGCUUGUUGGUGGGGUAGUGGCUUACCAAGGCUUUGACGGGUAGCCGGCCUGAGAGGGUGACCGGCCACAUUGGGACUGAGAUACGGCCCAGACUCGUACGGGAGGCAGAAGUGGGGAAUAUUGCACAAUGGGCGGAAGCCUGAUGCAGCAACGCCGCGUGCGGGAUGACGGCCUUCGGGUUGUAAACCGCUUUCGCCUGUGACGAAGCGUGAGUGACGGUAAUGGGUAAAGAAGCACCGGCUAACUACGUG
RNAcentral lists this ribosomal RNA (468 nucleotides) under uncultured bacterium. RNAcentral describes it as "partial 16S ribosomal RNA". It matches the Rfam family "Bacterial small subunit ribosomal RNA", at positions 28 to 507 of the family's 1533-position model. The record is from RNAcentral.